RNAcentral lists this transfer RNA (73 nucleotides) under Dipodomys ordii (Ord's kangaroo rat). It matches the Rfam family "tRNA". From Rfam's summary of the family: Transfer RNA (tRNA) molecules are approximately 80 nucleotides in length. Their secondary structure includes four short double-helical elements and three loops (D, anti-codon, and T loops). Lineage: Eukaryota; Metazoa; Chordata; Mammalia; Rodentia; Heteromyidae. The record is from Rfam by way of RNAcentral.
AGUGUUAUAGCUCAAAUGGUAGAGCACCUGGUUAGCAAGCACAAGGCCCAGAGUUUAAAUCUCAGUACCGCCC